Molecule: ribosomal RNA, 112 nt
Filed under: Caerostris darwini
Lineage: Eukaryota; Metazoa; Arthropoda; Arachnida; Araneae; Araneidae
Source: RNAcentral
AACGGCCAUACCAUGCUGAAUAUACCGGUUCUCGUUAGAUCACCGAAGUCAAGCAUCAUUGGGCGCGGUCAGUACUUGGGUGGGUGACCACUUGGGGACACCCCGUGCCGUU